AGACCCGAAACCCGGUGAUCUAGCCAUGGGCAGGUUGAAGGUUGGGUAACACUAACUGGAGGACCGAACCGACUAAUGUUGAAAAAUUAGCGGAUGACCUGUGGCUGGGGGUGAAAGGCCAAUCAAACCGGGAGAUAGCUGGUUCUCCCCGAAAGCUAUUUAGGUAGCGCCUCGUGAAUUCAUCUCCGGGGGUAGAGCACUGUUUCGGCUAGGGGGCCAUCCCGGCUUACCAACCCGAUGCAAACUGCGAAUACCGGAGAAUGUUAUCACGGGAGACACACGGCGGGUGCUAACGUCCGUCGUGAAGAGGGAAACAACCCAGACCGCCAGCUAAGGUCCCAAAGUCAUGGUUAAGUGGGAAACGAUGUGGGAAGGCCCAGACAGCCAGGAUGUUGGCUUAGAAGCAGCCAUCAUUUAAAGAAAGCGUAAUAGCUCACUGGUCGAGUCGGCCUGCGCGGAAGAUGUAACGGGGCUAAACCAUGCACCGAAGCUGCGGCAGCGACACUAUGUGUUGUUGGGUAGGGGAGCGUUCUGUAAGCCUGCGAAGGUGGCCUGUGAGGGUUGCUGGAGGUAUCAGAAGUGCGAAUGCUGACAUAAGUAACGAUAAAGCGGGUGAAAAGCCCGCUCGCCGGAAGACCAAGGGUUCCUGUCCAACGUUAAUCGGGGCAGGGUGAGUCGACCCCUAAGGCGAGGCCGAAAGGCGUAGUCGAUGGGAAACGGGUUAAUAUUCCCGUACUUGGUGUUACUGCGAAGGGGG
RNAcentral lists this ribosomal RNA (757 nucleotides) under Salmonella enterica. RNAcentral describes it as "partial 23S ribosomal RNA". It matches the Rfam family "Bacterial large subunit ribosomal RNA", at positions 711 to 1470 of the family's 2925-position model. RNAcentral also lists the same sequence under 1 other name. The record is from RNAcentral. Lineage: Bacteria; Pseudomonadati; Pseudomonadota; Gammaproteobacteria; Enterobacterales; Enterobacteriaceae.